This 345-nucleotide RNase P RNA is filed under the name Chloroflexota bacterium. RNAcentral's name for it is "Chloroflexi bacterium RNase P RNA component class A". It matches the Rfam family "Bacterial RNase P class A". From Rfam's summary of the family: Ribonuclease P (RNase P) is a ubiquitous endoribonuclease, found in archaea, bacteria and eukarya as well as chloroplasts and mitochondria. Its best characterised activity is the generation of mature 5'-ends of tRNAs by cleaving the 5'-leader elements of precursor-tRNAs. Lineage: Bacteria; Bacillati; Chloroflexota. The record is from RNAcentral.
UGAGACGGUCGGGCGGUCGCGGCGCGUUUCGGCGCGCUGAGGAAAGUCCGAACUCCGUGGGACAGGGCGCUGGGGAAAUCCCAGGAGGGGGCGACCUUUCGGAUAGCGCCACAGAAACAUACCGCCGCGCCGAUCCUCGGACCGGCGCGGUAAGGGUGAAAUGGUGCGGUAAGAGCGCACCAGCGGCUGGGCGACCACGCCGGCUGGGCAAGCCCCGCCUGGAGCAAGGCCAAAUAGGAGGGCAUAUGGCGCGUCCCACGCCGCCCUCGGGUAGGUCGCAUAGAUAGAUGGCCGCCGCCCGUCGCGAGACGGGUACAGAAUUCGGCUUAUAGACCGUCUGAUUGC